AUGGCAGCCGCCAGCGACAAACGCAAGGAUGUAGCCGAACUCGAUCACGGACUCGAGCACAACGGCGACAUACGCCUCCUCCCAACGUCAACCGCACGCUCGUACGCGUGCCCGCUGUACCGACGCACCCGACGCAUCCAGUGCGCACCCAUAACACGCACCGGUCGCGCCCGUCUCGCCGCCACGGCUUAUUGCCAUGCACCGCUGCGCAGCACCUCCAUGGCGCUGUGUGCAGCACCUCCAUGGCGCUGUGUGUCGUUGAAGCCGCCGCCACGCAAGUCCUCCGCGGCCUCCUCACCAUGCCGGCGCAGCCACCGCGGCCUCCUCAUCGCGCCGCGCACCUUAAUAGACCGACACACGGCCCGGAGCAUCGCGCAGCCGCCGGCGAACUCCGCCACCGCCGGCACGCCUCCGGCAAGAAGAACGACGCCCAAGAUGAACCAGCUCAUGAUACCAAUUGUUGGUGUCUACCUACUC
This 477-nucleotide ribosomal RNA is filed under the name Triticum aestivum (bread wheat). RNAcentral describes it as "partial small subunit ribosomal RNA". The record is from RNAcentral. Lineage: Eukaryota; Viridiplantae; Streptophyta; Magnoliopsida; Poales; Poaceae.